Gopherus agassizii (Agassiz's desert tortoise) is the source of this 1636-nucleotide long non-coding RNA. The record is from Ensembl. NCBI's taxonomy places the organism in Eukaryota, Metazoa, Chordata, Testudines, Testudinidae.
AAGUUCUGAGUAACAUUUCAGAAAAAAGGUUGAAUGAAAAGGCAAUUCCUUCCCAUGGCAAGUGGUUAUGUUGAUGUGUAUUGCCUUCUCCCUCCAAAGGAGCUUGUCUGAUCUGCAGGUGUUCCCAUCCUCAUGCCCCCCCCCCACCUCUUAAGAAAGUGCUGUCUCCUGGCAACAAUACAAAGAUAACAACCAAGCACCUUCAGUACUACUUUUAUUUUCACUUUCAGAACAAUGGUUUGUUUUUAACUUUUAAGAGAAUAAUCCAUUCAUUUGUGAUUAUAAAGUGCAUUUUUUCACCUUGAACUUUGUGUACAAAAACAUUUAAAAAAGAAAGACACAAACAUGCAAAAACAGCUUAACAAGGCACUUUCAGGCAUAAAAGGACAGCAAUGCCUCACUUCUACAUUCCCAUUGGCGAAAGAAAAGUGUGAAAAGGAAAGCUCCAAGAAGUUACUUCUUUUGUGUUUUAGAAUCAUCACUGGUCAAAGAGUCAGUUCCCAGCACAAUGUUUACACAACGUCGAUGUGUAUGUCACAACUUCCACAGCUUUUUCCCAUCCACUGCGGUACAUCAUUGCUUCCAUUGGUUGGUAUGCAGGGGCCCCUUCAUUGUACCACCAGAAGGAGGAAAUAAAAGCACACUACUACCCAGGGCACUACAGACUCUCACAUCACUGUUGCAUGGUGUCAUGGUUAGGAUCUAAAGGUGUGCUAGAAUUUGUUAGCUAAAAGCACAUGAAGCAAACUGUACACUAGAUUUUUAGAACAUGUUAGCUAAAAACAACCAUACCUUUAAAUCCUAGGCAAGUUAAACCCUUGACUCAUUCACUGCCCAGCUUUGUAAAUCAAAGAAUGAUUUUAAACCAAACCUGGAUAAGUCUUUCCUAAAGACACCUUUACGGAGGACACUAUUUAACUUAUCAAACGGAAAUUCAGGAAACAGACUUUUCAAAUUAGUGAAUGAAGCUUGUGCAACCCAUGUUUACAUACACAUAGCAUCAAUUUAAUGCCUGAAAUUAGUAACUGAGUACAAUACUGCUUUCCACAGCCCAAUAUAUUGAUGUAAAGAUCAAAAAACUAUGCAUUCUUCCCGUAAGCUCAUUGUUCUUACUUAAUCCAUGUCUAAUAGAAGGUCAGAUACAUCAUCUCCUAAAAUUAUAGGUCAGCGCAGAAAUGUUUUGUACUGUGGUCUCCAGAAUUUAAAAAGUGAUGUUUUAAAAAGCAAUUUUGAAUUCUGGAGAAUAGCAUAGCCAUUUGCUUCUUCCUGUGCCCUCCCCACACAAAUACUGGGUGUGUGCUAAAAGUAUAACGUUUGUGUUCUAGAAAAAUAGAAUAUCUGGAAAUAUUAAACCCCAUCUGAAUUAUUCCAUUUAAAUAUAUGAAAUAAGUUAUUCUGCUUAAAUAGCAAGACAUUGGCUUAAUGAUUGCAUUCUCUCUGGCAGUACCUAAAAUGACUGUUCUCUGCAAUUCACCUCACCUCCAAAACAAGCCAUGGUACUCUCCCCUCUACCACAACAGAUCUUCCUUUUCAACAAGAGCAAUGAUGGCAUCUCAUGCCCUCGAGAGAUCCGUUUUCUUGGGCAGAACUACAUUUUGUAUGGAAAUAGCACUGAAGGCCAAUGCGUGCACUUACU